RNAcentral lists this ribosomal RNA (494 nucleotides) under uncultured bacterium. RNAcentral's name for it is "partial 16S ribosomal RNA". It matches the Rfam family "Bacterial small subunit ribosomal RNA", at positions 28 to 507 of the family's 1533-position model. The record is from RNAcentral.
GACGAACGCUGGCGGCGUGCUUAACACAUGCAAGUCGAACGGAAAGGCCUGUCCUUCCUUGUGUUGGACGGGUACUCGAGUGGCGAACGGGUGAGUAACACGUGAGUGAUCUGCCCCCAACUUGGGUAUAAGCCUGGGAAACUGGGUCUAAUUCCCGAUAGGACUGCAGGGUGGUGCCUGUGGUGGAAAACGAUUUUCUAGUGGUUGGGGAUGAGCUCGCGGCCUAUCAGCUUGUUGGUGGGGUAAUGGCCUACCAAGGCGGCGACGGGUAGCCGGCCUGAGAGGGUGGACGGCCACAGUGGGACUGAGAUACGGCCCAGACUCCGACGGGAGGCAGCAGUGGGGAAUAUUGCAAAAUGGGCGGAAGCCUGAUGCAGCGACGCAGCGUGGGGGAUGACGGCCUUCGGGUGGUAAACUCCUUUCGACCGCGAGGAAGCCGCCUGGUUGGAAGGGUGGUGACGGUAGUGGUAGAAGAAGCACCGGCUAACUACGUG